This 130-nucleotide small nucleolar RNA is filed under the name Cyanoderma ruficeps (rufous-capped babbler). RNAcentral's name for it is "Small nucleolar RNA SNORA24 (ENSCRFG00000000388.1)". It matches the Rfam family "Small nucleolar RNA SNORA24". From Rfam's summary of the family: ACA24 is a member of the H/ACA class of snoRNA that guide the sites of modification of uridines to pseudouridines. Lineage: Eukaryota; Metazoa; Chordata; Aves; Passeriformes; Timaliidae. The record is from Rfam by way of RNAcentral.
AUCCAUGACUCCAUGGGAGCUGCCGCUUGUGGCUGAUUCCCUUCCUAGGCAUGGAAGAGCAGGACUUGCUAAUUGGCAAAACUUUUACCCUCUUGUGGGUAUGAGUCGUUGACUGUGGCAAGUAACAAAC